AAUAGGGUUUGAUCCAAUCAAGCCUAUUAUUCAAUAGGGUUUGAUCCAAUCAAAGCCUAUAUCAAACUAAAUUGAAUCUUGUUCAACUUAAAAUUUGAUUUACAUCUCUAAGAUCAAUUGGAAUAAGUUCUGUUAUCCAAUAGGGCUGCAUCCAAUCAAUUCAAAGCAAACCUAAUUGAAUCCAAUUCAAUUAGAUUUGAUCCAAUCCACAUUGUUCAAUUAAAUUGAGCCA
Molecule: long non-coding RNA, 232 nt
Filed under: Elaeis guineensis (African oil palm)
Lineage: Eukaryota; Viridiplantae; Streptophyta; Magnoliopsida; Arecales; Arecaceae
Description: long non-coding RNA (EGUI_LNC080504)
Source: RNAcentral